Molecule: ribosomal RNA, 253 nt
Filed under: uncultured bacterium
Lineage: Bacteria
Description: partial 16S ribosomal RNA
Rfam family: Bacterial small subunit ribosomal RNA
Source: RNAcentral
UACAGAGGGUGCAAGCGUUAAUCGGAAUUAUUGGGCGUAAAGGGUUUGUAGGUGGUUGACUAAGUCGGAUGUGAAAUCCCCGGGCUUAACCUGGGCAAGUCAUUCGAGACUAGUCGGCUAGAGUGGGAUAGAGGGAAGUGGAAUUUCGUGUGUAGCGGUGAAAUGCGUAGAUAUGCGAAGGAACAUCAGUGGCGAAGGCGGCUUCCUGGAUCCUAACUGACACUGAAAAACGAAAGCGUGGGGAGCAAACAGG